RNAcentral lists this ribosomal RNA (1375 nucleotides) under uncultured bacterium. RNAcentral describes it as "bacterial SSU rRNA". It matches the Rfam family "Bacterial small subunit ribosomal RNA", at positions 27 to 1393 of the family's 1533-position model. The record is from RNAcentral.
GAUUGAACGCUGGCGGUAUGCUUAACACAUGCAAGUCGAACGGAAACGAUACUAGCUUGCUAGUAGGCGUCGAGUGGCGGACGGGUGAGUAACGCGUAGGAAUCUGCCUGAUAGUGGGGGAUAGCCCGAAGAAAUUCGGAUUAAUACCGCAUAAUCUAUUCGUAGUAAAGUGGGGGACUUUCGAGCCUCACGCUAUCAGAUGAGCCUGCGUAAGAUUAGCUUGUUGGUAGGGUAAAAGCCUACCAAGGCGACGAUCUUUAGCUGGUCUGAGAGGAUGAUCAGCCACAUCGGGACUGAGACACGGCCCGAACUCCUACGGGAGGCAGCAGUGGGGAAUAUUGGACAAUGGGGGCAACCCUGAUCCAGCAAUACCGCGUGUGUGAAGAAGGCCUGAGGGUUGUAAAGCACUUUCAAUUGUGAAGAAAAGUUAACGGUUAAUAACCGUUAGCCUUGACGUUAACUUUAGAAGAAGCACCGGCUAACUCCGUGCCAGCAGCCGCGGUAAUACGGAGGGUGCAAGCGUUAAUCGGAAUUACUGGGCGUAAAGCGUGCGUAGGCGGUUUAUUAAGUCAGAUGUGAAAGCCCCGGGCUUAACCUGGGAACUGCAUUUGAAACUGGUCAACUAGAGUAUGGUAGAGGAAAGUGGAAUUUCUGGUGUAGCGGUGAAAUGCGUAGAUAUCAGAAGGAACAUCAAUGGCGAAGGCAGCUUUCUGGACCAAUACUGACGCUGAGGUACGAAAGCGUGGGUAGCAAACAGGAUUAGAUACCCUGGUAGUCCACGCCGUAAACGAUGAUAACUAGCCGUUGGGGGGAUUUACCCUUUAGUGGCGAAGCUAACGCGUUAAGUUAUCCGCCUGGGGAGUACGGCCGCAAGGUUAAAACUCAAAGGAAUUGACGGGGACCCGCACAAGCGGUGGAGCAUGUGGUUUAAUUCGAUGCAACGCGAAGAACCUUACCUGGUCUUGACAUCCUGCGAACUUUCUAGAAAUAGAUUGGUGCCUUCGGGAACGCAGUGACAGGUGCUGCAUGGCUGUCGUCAGCUCGUGUCGUGAGAUGUUGGGUUAAGUCCCGUAACGAGCGCAACCCCUAUCCUUAUUUGCCAGCACAUCAUGGUGGGAACUAUAAGGAGACUGCCGGUGAUAAACCGGAGGAAGGCGGGGACGACGUCAAGUCAUCAUGGCCCUUACGACCAGGGCUACACACGUGCUACAAUGGGAAGGACAAAGAGCCGCGAAGCCGCGAGGUGUAGCUAAUCUCAUAAACCUUUUCGUAGUCCGGAUUGGAGUCUGCAACUCGACUCCAUGAAGUCGGAAUCGCUAGUAAUCGUAGAUCAGAAUGCUACGGUGAAUACGUUCCCGGGUCUUGUACACACUGC